UGGUUGCCAUAACUCCGAGCUCACUAUUGCUAAGUCCUUGGAUAAGCGUUUUGAGCCAGUGGCAUACUGUCACAAGGGCAUGAUUGGAAAUGGCCAUGCCUCCCGUGUUUGGAAAGGUGUUCCGUGGCGCAACAA
Non-coding RNA from Vibrio alginolyticus 12G01, 135 nucleotides. The record is from Rfam. Lineage: Bacteria; Pseudomonadati; Pseudomonadota; Gammaproteobacteria; Vibrionales; Vibrionaceae.